AGAGUUGAUCCUGGCUCAGAACGAACGCUGGCGGCGCGUUUAAACAUGCAAGUCGAACGGCAAGGGCACUUGUGCCCCCUAGAGUGGCGAACGGGUGAGUAACACGUAGAUAAUCUACCCUACAGUUGGGAUAGUCCAUGGAAACAUGGGGUAAUACCGGAUGUGACUGGUUUUUCAUAAGAGAAGCCAAGGAAAGGCGCUAAGGCGCCGCUGUGGGAUGAGUCUGCGCUCCAUUAGCUAGUUGGUGGGGUAAUGGCCUACCAAGGCUGCGAUGGAUAGCCGGCCUGAGAGGGUGAUCGGCCACAUUGGGACUGAGACACGGCCCAGACUCCUACGGGAGGCAGCAGUUAAGAAUCUUCCGCAAUGGACGCAAGUCUGACGGAGCGACGCCGCGUGAAACGAUGAAGGCCGUGAGGUUGUAAAGUUCUUUUCGUGGGGGAGGAAUAAUGAUGGCAGGGAAUGGUCAUCAGAUGACGUUAACCCAGGAAUAAGCCCCGGCUAACUACGUGCCAGCCGCAGC
This 520-nucleotide ribosomal RNA is filed under the name uncultured bacterium. RNAcentral's name for it is "bacterial SSU rRNA". It matches the Rfam family "Bacterial small subunit ribosomal RNA", at positions 8 to 518 of the family's 1533-position model. The record is from RNAcentral.